AGGGAUUUAGCACAAUGGUGUUGCAUCUGCCUCAUAAGCAGAAGGUCCCAACUUCAUUUCCUA
This 63-nucleotide transfer RNA is filed under the name Heterocephalus glaber (naked mole-rat). It matches the Rfam family "tRNA". Rfam says of the family: Transfer RNA (tRNA) molecules are approximately 80 nucleotides in length. Their secondary structure includes four short double-helical elements and three loops (D, anti-codon, and T loops). The record is from Rfam by way of RNAcentral. Lineage: Eukaryota; Metazoa; Chordata; Mammalia; Rodentia; Bathyergidae.